GCCUUGCUAGCUCAAUCGGUAGAGCGUGAGGCUCUUAAUCUUAAGGUUGGGGUUCGACCCCCCCGUGAGGCU
Molecule: transfer RNA, 72 nt
Filed under: Sphaerobolus stellatus SS14
Lineage: Eukaryota; Fungi; Basidiomycota; Agaricomycetes; Geastrales; Sphaerobolaceae
Description: tRNA-Lys (CTT) (tRNA-Lys-CTT-16-1)
Rfam family: tRNA
About the family: Transfer RNA (tRNA) molecules are approximately 80 nucleotides in length. Their secondary structure includes four short double-helical elements and three loops (D, anti-codon, and T loops).
Source: RNAcentral